Molecule: long non-coding RNA, 1847 nt
Filed under: Daucus carota (carrot)
Lineage: Eukaryota; Viridiplantae; Streptophyta; Magnoliopsida; Apiales; Apiaceae
Description: long non-coding RNA (DCAR_LNC002479)
Source: RNAcentral
UGAAAAAAGGAGGUGCCUUAUCUGUGACGAAUUGAUGAGAUUGGUUUAAAAUAAAUUGGGAUAAUAUCUCAUAGUCAUUGUCGAAACUACGUGUGUUUAUAUCUAUUUUAUGAAUAAAAAUCCUAAUAUUCGUUGCUUUGAUUUCACAAAACCAAAAUCCUUUUCAACUUAUCAAUCUCUUUCACUCUAUCUUUUCUAUUGGUUAAGGAGAAGCUUCUAGGACCCAACGAAUUGCGUGGACCUCUUUUUUCAAAUUCUUAUCCAUUUCAAUCUGGUGUAUAAUCAACACACAAGCAAUUGAUUCAAUAGUCAAUACACUGUACUGCGAGCCUAACUGCUUCAAGCAAGUUUAUCUCCUCAUGAAUAAUCUCAUAGAGUGAAUAUUUUUUUUAUAAUAUAAUAAAAUAAUAAUUUUUUAAUCUCGAUUAAUGGAUAGUUUGAUAAUAUAUAUAAAUCCUGCGAGACUAAAAUCAUCCAUUUAGCUAGUUUUAGAUCUAUUCUUGAUAUAACGGGGGGACGAGUUAGUAAGGUACGAGAAAUUAACAUUAUUUUUGUUAUUUUCAUCAUUAUUCAUAUAAUUAAACGUAAAUAAUUAAACAUAUAUAAAAAUAAUAAUUAAAUUAAUAAUUCAAAAAAAUUAAUCUCUUGAUUUCAACACUCACCUAAAAUGGGAUAAAUGGUCUUUGGGCUGGUUCAGGAAACAUCUUUAAACUAUUAUCAAAAGGAACAUGUUUAGUAUUUGCUACUCGGCAGCAAUUUUCACUCUUAGUUUCGGAUAAAAGUUGUGAAGCCCAAUAGUACAUAUUUACAAUUUCGUCAUAGCUGGGCCAACAAUUACUAGUAGUGUAACCUGAAGAACCUAAAUGCCAAAUGUUUGAUUGUCGACGUUGUAAUUGGCCCAAACAAUACCUGUGAAAAGUGAACUUAAAAAGGUAUGCAGCUGCGGCUCUUUCGAACUUUACUCCUUUAUGCCGAGCUGCCGAACACUCUUUUACUUAUUUUUAGUAGGUUUGUAGGUCUCCCUUUCAAAAUUUAUUAAAAUAUAAAAUCUUAUUGAUAGUACCCGGCCUCUACAGGGUUUUUUACCCGGCUCCGUGAUAUAAUAUCCCGCUUUCGGUGGGUCUUUUACCCGGUUCUAUAGUAUUUUUAACUAUACAAUAUAUACGUCACACAAAUAAUAUAGCAGGAAGAGGACGGGUCGAGAGGAGGCUCCUUAUAAAAGGGAUGGUAUCAUUCAUUCUUUCACACACACUCUCUCGUACUCAUAUACUCUCUUAUCAGUUCCUUUAUAAACAGAAUCUCAUCCUUAGGCCGGAGGGGCUUGACGGCCAGCAUCCCCGGUCAGGCCAUGUUUUGCAAGCUUCCCAUCUAACAGCGGCAACAUCAGAAAUCAACGGAAGAAAUGGAGGCUACAAAUAUAUGGACUUAUCACUUAUAAUAUAAAAACUAUUUAUAAUCAAUAAUUUUCUUCAUUACACUAACUUAUAUAUAUUGAAUAUCAAUUGGUUUCACUAUUUUAUUCUCUUUUUUUUCUCUAUUUUAUUAAUUUAAACAUUUUUCGUUCAUAUCUAAUUCACUUGUAAAGAAAUAAGAAAGACGGAGAAUACAUUUUUUAUCAAACCAAAUAUCAUUUCGGCUAGGAGUACAAUUUUUCAAAUAAAUUUAUAGCAAACCAAACAUCACUUCAGCUAAGGAUAUAAUUUUUUGGGCCUUUAAAUUGGAUCAUAUCAUUUCUCAAUAUAUAAUGAGUCUUUCACGAUAAAAUUCAAUACGUAAUAUACGAUAAUAUAAAUAAAUAAGAAAGUGUUUAUACUUGUUUUUAACUCUUAACCCAAAGUGGAUUUAUU